RNAcentral lists this long non-coding RNA (510 nucleotides) under Gallus gallus (chicken). The record is from RNAcentral. Lineage: Eukaryota; Metazoa; Chordata; Aves; Galliformes; Phasianidae.
UGUCUUGGCUGUUGGUCUUACUGUCCUGAUGGUUGCUGUUGUGGGUGUUUUGCCCAUGAUCGUCACCACCCUGGGUGUUGCUUUGGCUGUCACUGUUCUGGGUGCUGGGCUGGCUAGCAGUGUUGCUGCCAGACUGCCCGCCAUUGUUCUGGUUGGUGUCUUGGCCCUCAGUGUUUUUUUCUUCCUCUUUGCCAGAUUGUUGCCCUGUCUCUCCGGACGGGUUCUUCCCCUGCUCACUCUGGUCUUUCUUUUGCUCUUCAUCACCUGCACCUCUCUCCUCAUUUGCUGUCCCUCUGUUACCUUCAUUUUGUGCCUUGUUGGAUUCUUCGUCUUUUACUGAAGGGUUGGACUCUGAGCGCUCUGAUUCCUGCCCCCCACCUGCGCCCCCGGUCCCAACAUCAUUCCCGUUUGCGGCCUCGGCAGCAAUGCCAAGCAGCAGCAGUAGCAGCAGCAGGAGGAGCGAGAGCAGCCGCAGCGCCAUUCCGGCCCCACUCCUCUCACCCGGCUACG